This 505-nucleotide ribosomal RNA is filed under the name uncultured bacterium. Its description in RNAcentral is "partial 16S ribosomal RNA". It matches the Rfam family "Bacterial small subunit ribosomal RNA", at positions 28 to 507 of the family's 1533-position model. The record is from RNAcentral.
GACGAACGCUGGCGGCGUGCCUAAUACAUGCAAGUAGAACGCACAGUUUAUACCGUAGCUUGCUACACCAUAGACUGUGAGUUGCGAACGGGUGAGUAACGCGUAGGUAACCUGCCUGGUAGCGGGGGAUAACUAUUGGAAACGAUAGCUAAUACCGCAUAAUAUUGAUUAUUGCAUGAUAAUUGAUUGAAAGAUGCUAUUGCAUCACUACCAGAUGGACCUGCGUUGUAUUAGCUAGUAGGUGAGGUAACGGCUCACCUAGGCGACGAUACAUAGCCGACCUGAGAGGGUGAUCGGCCACACUGGGACUGAGACACGGCCCAGACUCCUACGGGAGGCAGCAGUAGGGAAUCUUCGGCAAUGGACGAAAGUCUGACCGAGCAAUGCCGCGUGAGUGAAGAAGGUUUUCGGAUCGUAAAGCUCUGUUGUAAGAGAAGAACGGGUGUGAGAGUGGAAAGUUCACACUGUGACGGUAUCUUACCAGAAAGGGACGGCUAACUACGUG